RNAcentral lists this ribosomal RNA (387 nucleotides) under uncultured bacterium. RNAcentral's name for it is "bacterial SSU rRNA". It matches the Rfam family "Bacterial small subunit ribosomal RNA", at positions 29 to 418 of the family's 1533-position model. The record is from RNAcentral.
AUUGAACGCUGGCGGAAUGCUUUACACAUGCAAGUCGAACGGCAGCACGGGGGCAACCCUGGUGGCGAGUGGCGAACGGGUGAGUAAUACAUCGGAACGUGCCCAGUCGUGGGGGAUAACUGCGCGAAAGCGUAGCUAAUACCGCAUACGAUCUACGGAUGAAAGCGGGGGAUCGCAAGACCUCGCGCGAUUGGAGCGGCCGAUGGCAGAUUAGGUAGUUGGNGGGGUAAAGGCGUCACCAAGCCAACGAUCUGUAGCUGGUCUGAGAGGACGACCAGCCACACUGGGACUGAGACACGGCCCAGACUCCUACGGAGGCAGCAGUGGGGAAUUGUUCGCAAUGGCGCAAGCCUGACGACGCAACGCCGCGUGGAGGAUGAAGACCUC